Molecule: ribosomal RNA, 448 nt
Filed under: uncultured bacterium
Lineage: Bacteria
Description: bacterial SSU rRNA
Rfam family: Bacterial small subunit ribosomal RNA
Source: RNAcentral
CCCCAGACUCCUACGGGAGGCAGCAGUGGGGAAUAUUGCACAAUGGGGGAAACCCUGAUGCAGCAACGCCGCGUGAGUGAAGAAGUCAUUCGUGAUGUAAAGCUCUAUCAGCAGGGAAGAAAAUGACGGUACCUGAGUAAGAAGCCCCGGCUAACUACGUGCCAGCAGCCGCGGUAAUACGUAGGGGGCAAGCGUUAUCCGGAUUCACUGGGUGUAAAGGGAGCGUAGACGGCGACGCAAGUCUGGAGUGAAAGCCCGGGGCCCAACCCCGGGACUGCUCUGGAAACUGCGUCGCUGGAGUACGGGAGGGGCAGGCGGAAUUCCUAGUGUAGCGGUGAAAUGCGUAGAUAUUAGGAGGAACACCAGUGGCGAAGGCGGCCUGCUGGACGAUGACUGACGUUGAGGCUCGAAAGCGUGGGGAGCAAACAGGAUUAGAUACCCGGGUAAC